Molecule: unclassified non-coding RNA, 347 nt
Filed under: soil metagenome
Description: partial contains 5.8S ribosomal RNA, internal transcribed spacer 2, and large subunit ribosomal RNA
Rfam family: 5.8S ribosomal RNA (bases 1-119)
Source: RNAcentral
GAUGAAGAACGUAGCAAAAUGCGAUACGUAAUGUGAAUUGCAAAUUCAGUGAAUCAUCGAAUCUUUGAACGCACAUUGCGCCCGCUGGUAUUCCGGCGGGCAUGCCUGUUCGAGCGUCAUUUCAACCCUCAAGCCCCCGGGUUUGGUGUUGGGGAUCGGCUCUGCCCUUCUGGGCGGUGCCGCCCCCGAAAUACAUUGGCGGUCUCGCUGCAGCCUCCAUUGCGUAGUAGCUAACACCUCGCAACUGGAACGCGGCGCGGCCAUGCCGUAAAACCCCAACUUCUGAAUGUUGACCUCGGAUCAGGUAGGAAUACCCGCUGAACUUAAGCAUAUCAAUAAGCGGAGGA